AAUGGUAGCAGCCACAACCACAGCAGCACCGGGGGUCGCUGAUAUAACAGGUCCAGAGGAGGCCCAGACUGCAACACCAGAACCACCUGCUCCUGUAACCGGCGUUGCCAGCGUCCCUGAUGCUCCCGAGGUUACAGUUGAAGUAGAAACUGUGGAGGAGGAGGACUCUGAGCUGCCCAAUGUUGUCCCAGAGCAGCCUGUGGAGGCGAUAGUGGAGUUCAGUAUUAACCUCGUGGACCCAGGCUACAAGGAACUACUGGACGACCCUGACUCCCCCCAAUAUGUUGACCUCUCUCAUCACCUGCAAGACCAGAUGCUCCAUGUUUUUGACAAACUCCCAGGAUUUAAAGAUAUCAAUGUUUUGGGAAUCAGGUAAGUCUGUGGCAGACAUGAAUAAUCACAUCUGGUGCCUUCGUUCUUAAUACUGACGUUUUGGUGAGCAAAUUAAAUGGCAAUAGAUUAGGUUAGACAGAUGAAAGACAGGUGCAAGCUGGGAACCCUGCCAGUAGGGAUCAAUCCACAGCAUCUCACUGCACUGAGAAAUUCCUCUGAGACUCAAUUUAUUUAAUCGGACCUUCUUAACAAAGUGUUGAUUUGGCAUGGACACGGAUUCAUUUGAAAACAAAACUAGCUCAUUCCCACCUAGGUGAAAUUCAGUCAAAUUCUAGGAACAGAAAAUAUUUGAGUGCCAUCCAAGCCAUUCUGUCAUGUGCUCUUGGCUAUGCUGACUGUAGUAAGAACUGAAUACUUGUCAUUAGUGUGACUCACAUGCAUGCCAAAAAUAUAUACCUUUCCUUUCCUGUGUGUUAACACUGAUGGUUAUUAUAUCUUUACAUUCAAAUGCAAAAGUAUACAUGUCAAGCACAGGUGGCUGGUGAGGGGAGGAUGGCUCAUAAUAAUGGCUGGAAUGGAGUGAACGGAAUGGCAUCAUACACAUGGAAACCACGUGUUUGUGUCUGAUACCAUUCAACAAUUCUAUCCCAGUCAUUACUAUGAGCCUGUCCUCCUCUAUUAAGGUGCCACCAGCUGCCUGUGGUGUCAAGAGACAAACACCCUGUGAUGUCAUGACACACGACCAGCAAUGAAUGAUGAUCUAUUUCCUUGUAGAUGGCAUGUCAUUAUGUCACAUACUAACGGCCUAUUUUCUUCCCCUGUCCAAAUCCUAGCGAGACCCAGGAGAGUGACGGGUAAUUGAAUUACUGUAAUGAGAGCCAUCUUGAGUGGUAGCUGCUGUUUCCCUCUGUGUGCUUGUCCCUGUAUGUCUGCUUCUCCUCUCAGUGUUAAUCUGGAUCUAACACAGGGCCCAAGGAGAGAGGGAUCACACUAAACAAACACCAACUUGGCAAUUACUCAGCUCUAAGUGCAGCCAUGGUGGGUCAAUACAUCAACCAGGGACACAGUUGAGGAAUGAGGACCAAAAUCAGCUGAAACUAGGCCUACAUUUGAUAUCCCUUCUGUAUCUCAUUGAAGGUUAACAUGUGCUUCUUUAAAUCUUUCUGAAAGGGUGUUAAUGCUCCUGUCUUCUUCAUUUUAGGAUGGAAGGAAAUUAAGCAGUGCAAUAAAACCCCUGUGUGAAUAGAAUAAUUGCCGAGUUGCUCCCUUCCCUAAUUUGCAGGGCCCAUUGUGGCCAGUGCUGUCACAGGCAAUAACAUCCUCAAGCCUGCUCCACUAAUCUGAUAAAUGAUUCACAACUAAUUCGACUUUUGUCUGUGUCUUCACUAUUUACAAAAACAAAAUGGAAAGAAAUCCACCAUUGAUGGUAUCAUUACUAUUCUAAUCAAAAUCCCAUUUAACUAAUCUGUUUGUCCUCCAGCUUCUCUAUGUCAGAGCUGCAUAUUGAAUACAUUUUUGAUAGUGUCUAUAAAAUCAGCCAUUUUUGACUCUCCAAAUGUUAAACCUGACAGAGGAUUGCUGUGUUUUUAGUUUACGUAGUUAAAUCCUUAUAGUUUAUCUAGAUCUGUAUAAUGCAGUACAUCACCAAGAGCUACUAUUUUCUGCUCUCAUACAAUAUAUUCUUAUUUUUCAGACCUGGAGCAGUGACAGUGCACUAUUCCCUGGUCUUUGAGACAAUUUCAACAGAAAUUUCAGAGGAUGACACAGGGACUCCAGUGUCAGCUGUGCCCAGCCUGCGGGAAAGGGUGGCCAAUGCUUUGAGUGAAGAGGCCUCUCUACCAGUGGAUCUACAGUCAUUAAACUUUGAACCAGGUAACCAAUUCCCUGUGAAUAAGUUAUGUUAUAUUUCUAAAAGACAUGAUUUUGCAUCGUUUUUGUACAUCUUUCCACAGUAAAAGUGAUUCCAUUAACUACAACACCUAUUGAGGAAGCUGUUGAAGAAGUGAUUGAAUGUGUAAGUACUGGCAUUUUAAUCUAAACUACCUAAGGCGAAAUACCAAA
Molecule: long non-coding RNA, 2394 nt
Filed under: Oncorhynchus mykiss (rainbow trout)
Lineage: Eukaryota; Metazoa; Chordata; Actinopteri; Salmoniformes; Salmonidae
Description: lncRNA (ENSOMYG00000074029.1)
Source: RNAcentral